ACGACUGUAGCUUAGUGGCAAAGCACAACAAUACUUCAUAUUGGUAUUUGAACGCCUGUUCGAUUCAGGCCAGUCGUA
Hymenopellis radicata is the source of this 78-nucleotide non-coding RNA. NCBI's taxonomy places the organism in Eukaryota, Fungi, Basidiomycota, Agaricomycetes, Agaricales, Physalacriaceae. The record is from the annotation of a GenBank genome assembly.